UUUGUAGAUAGAAAUCCAAGCUCCUCCUGGUGUACCAAUAGGUUAUGUUAUUCAGACUUGGCACCCAUGUCUACCAAAGUUUACAAUUCAAAAUGAGAAAAGAGAGGAUGUACUAAAAAUAAGUGGUCCAUGCGUUGUGUGCAGCUGUUGUGGAGAUGUUGAUUUUGAGAAUGAUGAUAUCAAGAUUAAAUCUCUUGAUGAACAGUGUGUGGUUGGCAAAAUUUCCAAGCACUGGACUGGAAUUUUGAGAGAGGCAUUUACAGACGCUGAUAACUUUGGAAUCCAGUUCCCUUUAGACCUUGAUGUUAAAAUGAAAGCUGUAAUGAUUGGUGCCUGUUUC
This 340-nucleotide small RNA is filed under the name Pan troglodytes (chimpanzee). RNAcentral's name for it is "processed transcript". Lineage: Eukaryota; Metazoa; Chordata; Mammalia; Primates; Hominidae. The record is from RNAcentral.